RNAcentral lists this ribosomal RNA (411 nucleotides) under uncultured bacterium. RNAcentral's name for it is "bacterial SSU rRNA". It matches the Rfam family "Bacterial small subunit ribosomal RNA", at positions 355 to 774 of the family's 1533-position model. RNAcentral also lists the same sequence under 1 other name. The record is from RNAcentral.
UGGGGAAUAUUGCACAAUGGGCGCAAGCCUGAUGCAGCGACGCCGCGUGCGGGAUGACGGCCUUCGGGUUGUAAACCGCUUUUGACUGGGAGCAAGCCCUUCGGGGUGAGUGUACCUUUCGAAUAAGCACCGGCUAACUACGUGCCAGCAGCCGCGGUAAUACGUAGGGUGCAAGCGUUAUCCGGAAUUAUUGGGCGUAAAGGGCUCGUAGGCGGUUCGUCGCGUCCGGUGUGAAAGUCCAUCGCUUAACGGUGGAUCCGCGCCGGGUACGGGCGGGCUUGAGUGCGGUAGGGGAGACUGGAAUUCCCGGUGUAACGGUGGAAUGUGUAGAUAUCGGGAAGAACACCAAUGGCGAAGGCAGGUCUCUGGGCCGUCACUGACGCUGAGGAGCGAAAGCGUGGGGAGCGAACA